Molecule: ribosomal RNA, 311 nt
Filed under: uncultured eukaryote
Lineage: Eukaryota
Description: partial large subunit ribosomal RNA
Rfam family: Eukaryotic large subunit ribosomal RNA
Source: RNAcentral
AUAUCACUAAGCGGAGGAAAAGAAACUAACCAGGAUUCCCCUAGUAACGGCGAGUGAAGCGGGAACAGCUCAAAUUUGAAAUCUGGGAGCAAUCCCCGAAUUGUAGUUUAUAGAGGUACUUUCGGCGACGACCCCGGUACAAGUCUCUUGGAACAGGGCAUCAUAGAGGGUGAGAAUCCCGUCUGUGACCGGGUGUUCGUUGCUAUGUGAGGUGCUUUCAACGAGUCGGGUUGUUUGGGAAUACAGCCCAAAAUGGGUGGUAAAUUUCACCUAAAGCUAAAUAUUGGCGAGAGACCGAUAGCGCACAAGUA